AAGAGGCUACUAGCACUCUUGGAUGGAUGACGAACCUUAUCCUUGGAGUUGUGGUAGCUCAUAGGAUGCAUUGCUACUCUCUAAACGCUUGAUAACCCUGUCUAGUGCCUGAGAUGGAUCAUGAUAUAGUGUGAUGGUCAAUGUUGGUAUGCUGAACAGAGAAAGCAAAGGAAACUAAACAUGCUUUUUAGCUUAAAGUUUUUAGAUUGAUUAAUGGUUGAAUCCGAAACCUCAGUUGGUUACAAGAUAUAAAGAAACCCCAUGUCCCUAAUGUUUAAGAAAGCCCUAGUCAUAACUCAAAUUGGUUUGUGCAAACAAACCUCUAAUCCUAAUUGAUUUACAUGGCUUAUUCAUAUUUAUAAUUCUAAUUGGUUUAGGAUAACCAAAGUCAAUCCAAAACUAUUUAAUUAAUUACACUUUAAAUAGCACACAUCAAAAUCCUAAAUCUUUUUAGCCAAAUAAAUAAAGUUCUAAAUCUUGUUGGACUAAGUUUAGACAAAGCUGGCUUGUCCUUCCAUUUUAUGGGCUGAUAAAUGCUUUUCGACCAUUUCUUUAUUGGGCUCGUACCAUUUCAAUCAUGGUCCGACCAAGUUGCUUUGCAUGCUCGUUUGGUUAAUGAAAAUACUCCUGAUAAUCCAUUUCCAUCCAUGCAUCUUUAUCUUCCAUU
This 667-nucleotide long non-coding RNA is filed under the name Brassica napus (rape). Its description in RNAcentral is "long non-coding RNA (BNAP_LNC023122)". Lineage: Eukaryota; Viridiplantae; Streptophyta; Magnoliopsida; Brassicales; Brassicaceae. The record is from RNAcentral.